RNAcentral lists this ribosomal RNA (484 nucleotides) under uncultured bacterium. Its description in RNAcentral is "partial 16S ribosomal RNA". It matches the Rfam family "Bacterial small subunit ribosomal RNA", at positions 29 to 507 of the family's 1533-position model. The record is from RNAcentral.
AUUGAACGCUGGCGGCAUGCUUUACACAUGCAAGUCGAACGGCAGCGCGGGCUUCGGCCUGGCGGCGAGUGGCGAACGGGUGAGUAAUACAUCGGAACGUGCCCAGUAGUGGGGGAUAGCUCGGUGAAAGCCGGAUUAAUACCGCAUACGACCUGAGGGUGAAAGCGGGGGAUCUUCGGACCUCGCGCUAUUGGAGCGGCCGAUGGCAGAUUAGCUAGUUGGUGGGGUAAAGGCCUACCAAGGCGACGAUCUGUAGCUGGUCUGAGAGGACGACCAGCCACACUGGAACUGAGACACGGCCCAGACUCCUACGGGAGGCAGCAGUGGGGAAUUUUGGACAAUGGGCGAAAGCCUGAUCCAGCAAUGCCGCGUGUGUGAUGAAGGCCUUCGGGUUGUAAAGCACUUUUGGCGGGAACGAAAAGGACUGUGCCAAUACCACGGUUCGAUGACGGUACCCGCAGAAUAAGCACCGGCUAACUACGUG